This 88-nucleotide transfer RNA is filed under the name Paenibacillus thiaminolyticus. RNAcentral describes it as "tRNA-Ser". It matches the Rfam family "tRNA". Rfam says of the family: Transfer RNA (tRNA) molecules are approximately 80 nucleotides in length. Their secondary structure includes four short double-helical elements and three loops (D, anti-codon, and T loops). The record is from RNAcentral. Lineage: Bacteria; Bacillati; Bacillota; Bacilli; Caryophanales; Paenibacillaceae.
GGAGGGCUGACCGAGAGGACGAAGGUAGCGGUCUUGAAAACCGUAGGGGUGAAAGCCUCCGUGGGUUCAAAUCCCACGCCCUCCUCCA